RNAcentral lists this ribosomal RNA (406 nucleotides) under uncultured bacterium. RNAcentral's name for it is "partial 16S ribosomal RNA". It matches the Rfam family "Bacterial small subunit ribosomal RNA", at positions 30 to 526 of the family's 1533-position model. The record is from RNAcentral.
AUUGAACGCUGGCGGCAGGCCUAACACAUGCAAGUCGAGCGAGCGGCGGACGGGUGAGUAAUGUCUGGGAAAAUGCCUGCUGGAGGGGGAUAACUACUGGAAACGGUAGCUAAUACCGCAUACCAUAAGAUGUGCCCAGAUGGGAUUAGCUGGUAGGUGGGGUAACGGCUCACCUAGGCGACGAUCCCUAGCUGGUCUGAGAGUAUGAACAGCCACACUGUAACGGCGACACGGUCCAGACUCCGACGUGAGGCAGCAGUGGGGAAUAUUGCACAAUGGUCGCAAGCCUGAUGCAGCCAUGCCGCGUGUGUGAAGAAGGCCGUCGGGUUGUAAAGCACGUUCAGCGGGGAGGCGUUACCCGCAGAAGAAGCACCGGCUAACUCCGUGCCAGCAGCCGCGGUAAUUC